AGAUUGAACGCUGGCGGCAGGCCUAACACAUGCAAGUCGAGCGGUAGAGAGGUGCUUGCAUCUCUUGAGAGCGGCGGACGGGUGAGUAAUGCCUAGGAAUCUGCCUAGUGGUGGGGGAUAACGUUCGGAAACGGACGCUAAUACCGCA
RNAcentral lists this ribosomal RNA (148 nucleotides) under uncultured soil bacterium. Its description in RNAcentral is "partial 16S ribosomal RNA". It matches the Rfam family "Bacterial small subunit ribosomal RNA", at positions 26 to 173 of the family's 1533-position model. The record is from RNAcentral.